Molecule: ribosomal RNA, 2448 nt
Filed under: Triticum aestivum (bread wheat)
Lineage: Eukaryota; Viridiplantae; Streptophyta; Magnoliopsida; Poales; Poaceae
Description: partial small subunit ribosomal RNA
Source: RNAcentral
AUGGAGGCCAAGUAUGCUGAUCUGCGGCGCGCGGCGGAGGAAACGGCGGUGGUGGACGCGCACGCGCACGACCUCGUCGCCGCUGGUUCCACCCUGCCCUUCAUCGGCUGCUUCUCCGAGGCCGACGGCGACGCGCUCGCCUUGGCCCCCCACUCCCUCCCUUUCAAGCGAAGCCUUAGGGACAUUGCUGCAUUGUACGACUGUGAUCCCUCACUUGAGAAGGUGGAGGAGUUCAGAAGGGCUCAAGGCCUGUCAUCUAUCACUUCAAAAUGCUUCCAAGCUGCCAAUAUAUCUGCGCUUGUUGUAGAUGAUGUCUCCACAUUGGACAAAACCCUUGAACUGGAAUCUCACAAGGCAUUUGCUCCCAAGGUUUACAGAGUUGUCGGAAUCGAGACCCUGGCGGAAACAAUUAUUAAUGAGGUUGCCAACAAAAUUGUUGGAUUGAAAAGCAUGGCUGCACAUAGAAGUGGCUUAGAGAUUGAUCCAAGUGUUAGCAAGGUGGAUGCAGAGGAUGGUCUUCGGAAGGAGCUAGCAACUCGGAGGCCUCUUCGGAUUACAAACAAAAACCUGUUUGACUAUAUAUUUAUUCAUAGUCUUGAAAUUGCUGUGGAGUUUCAUUUGCCAAUGCAGAUUCAUACAGGGUUUGGAGACAGGGAACUGGGCUUACGACAUUGCACCCUUUUUCAUCUGCGUGCUGUUCUUGAAGACAAAAGAUUUGUCAAGUGCCAAAUAGUUCUUCUAAAUGCUUCGUAUCCAUUUUCGAGGGAAGGAUCCUAUCUUGCAUCUGUUUACUCCCAGUUCUACCUUGAUUUUGGCUUUGCAUUUCCAAAACUUAGUGUUCAAGGAAUAACAUCAUCACUUAAAGAGCUCCUGGAGCGAGCUCCCAUAAAGAAGGUCAUGUUCAGCACAGAUGGAUAUGCUUUUCCAGAGACAUACUAUCUAGGUGCAAAAUGGGCACGUGAUGUCGUUUACCGUGUCCUCUCAGCUGCAUGUGAAGAUGGUGAUCUUACCAUUCAGGAAGCUAUAGAAGCAGUUGAGGACAUCUUCAGAAGAAAUGCACUGCAUCUGUACAAGUUGAAUGUCUUCCAUGAAAAAACUACCAGUAUUGAUGACAAUACCAUAUCAUCGUCGUCUUGUCUCGGGAAAGAUGAUGUGAUCCUUGUUCGAAUGGUCUGGAAUGAUGCUUCAGGUCAACAUAGAUGCCGUGCCUUGCCAGCCGAGAGAUUUUACGGCAUUGCACGGAACAAGGGUGUUGGUCUAGGUAUUGCAGCAGUGGGGUUUACUUCCUUUAGAGAUGCCCCAGCAGUUGGGACAAACCUUACUUGUGCCGGAGAGGAAAUCAGGCUUGUGGCAGAUAUGUCAACACUUUUGAGGAUCCCAUGGUCAAGAAACGAAGAAAUGGUGAUGGUUGACAUGCUAACCGGUUCCGGAGAAGCCUCCAAAUACUGUCCUAGAAAUGCUUUAAGAAAAGUGACAAAAGUUCUGCUAGAUGAAUUCAAUGUGGCAGGUUUUGAGAAUGAAUUUUAUCUCCUCAGAAAAUCAUUCAGCGAGGGGCAUGAACAUUGGGUUCCAUAUGAUAAUAGCAGUUACUGCUCGACUUCAGCAUUUGAUGGUGCAUCAUUUAUGCUGAAAGAAGCACAUUCUUGUCUUAAAGCUGCAGGCAUUGUGGUUGAGCAGAUGCAUGCUGAAGGUGGUAAUGGGCAGUUCGAGAUAGCCUUAAAGUAUGUGUUGUGCACUCUUGCUGCUGAUAAUCAGAUAUAUGCCCGAGAAAUUAUUAAAUCCAUUGCUCGAAAACACGGGGUGAUAGCAACAUUUCUACCAAAACCAGACCUAAAUGAACUUGGAUCCGGUUGUCAUGUGCACCUGAGCUUAUGGAAGAAUGACCAAAAUGUUUUCAUGGGCUCAAAUAAAUAUAAUUACCAUGGGAUGUCAAAUACCGGUGAACGGUUCCUUGCUGGAGUUUAUCAUCAUCUUCCAUCGAUACUGGCAUUUACUGCCCCUCACCCACACAGCUACGACCGAAUUCAGCCAAACACAUUCACUGGAGCAUAUCUUUGCUGGGGGAAAGAGAACCGGGAGGCUCCAUUGAGGACCUCCUGCCCACCUGGCGUGCCUCCUGAUUUUGUCAGCAACUUCGAGAUUAGGUCGUUCGACGGGUGCGCAAACCCUCACCUAGGCCUCGCCGCCAUUGUCGCUGCCGGGAUCGACGGGCUAAGGAGAGGCCUCAAGUUGCCUCCACCAACUGAACUGAACCCUGCAGAUUGCGCUUCACACGAGAGGCUACCGCAUGACUUGCUUGGAUCUGUGGAGGCACUUGCUGCGGACAAGAUUUUUCAUGAACUGAUGGGUGACAAACUUGUGACUUCUGUUAUAGCUAUGCGAAAGGCCGAGAUCGAGCACUACGCUAAGAACCCAGGGGCAGUCCACCAUCUCAUUCACCGUUACUAG